CGCAUCUGUGCAUGCAGCAUAUCAAUAAGCGGAGGAAAAGAAACUAACAAGGAUUCCCUCAGUAACGGCGAGUGAAGCGGGAAGAGCUCAAAUUUGAAAUCUUGAAAGGUCACCUUUCACGAAUUGUAGUUUAAAGAAGUGUUUUCUGCUACGAUCGUAAUAUAAGUUCUUUGGAAUAGGACAGUCACAGAGGGUGAGAAUCCCGUCUAUGAUUGCGAUUUGUAGCUUUGUGAUACACUUUCAAAGAGUCGGGUUGUUUGGGAAUGCAGCCCAAAACGGGAGGUAAAUUUCUUCUAAGGCUAAAUAUUGGCGAGAGACCGAUAGCGAACAAGUACCGUGAGGGAAAGAUGAAAAGAACUUUGAAAAGAGAGUUAAAUAGUACGUGAAAUUGUCAAAAGGGAAGCGUUUAACACCAGUGUUGUUUUCUGAAAAUCAACCUCUGUUAGCUUUAUGCAUGUUUGUUUAGACCUAAUCAGCUAUCUUGCAUGUUCUAUUGUUUGCAGUGGUGCACUUUUCAGUUUACAGGUCAACAUCAGUUUUUUUUACCGUAAAAAAGUUAAAGAAAGGUAGCUCAUGGCUCCGGUCGUGAGUGUUAUAGUCUUUUUCCUAUGCGGUAGGAGAGACUGUAGGUCUGCAGUGUAGGCUAUUUGGCUAGAUACUCAGGUGCUAUGUGAUACCAUUUCAUAAACAACUUGUUGAUUAUGUUUUGUCUAUUGCAUACUCGCUUGUACUAUCAUACCUACGCUUAGGAUGUUGAAGUCAUCGUAUCGCGC
RNAcentral lists this ribosomal RNA (773 nucleotides) under uncultured Neocallimastigales. RNAcentral describes it as "partial large subunit ribosomal RNA". The stretch from base 1 to 663 matches the Rfam family "Eukaryotic large subunit ribosomal RNA", at positions 26 to 664 of the family's 3401-position model. The record is from RNAcentral. Lineage: Eukaryota; Fungi; Neocallimastigomycota; Neocallimastigomycetes; Neocallimastigales.